RNAcentral lists this ribosomal RNA (575 nucleotides) under uncultured bacterium. RNAcentral describes it as "partial 16S ribosomal RNA". It matches the Rfam family "Bacterial small subunit ribosomal RNA", at positions 355 to 920 of the family's 1533-position model. The record is from RNAcentral.
UGGGGAAUUUUGGACAAUGGGCGAAAGCCUGAUCCAGCAAUGCCGCGUGUGUGAAGAAGGCCUUCGGGUUGUAAAGCACUUUUGUCCGGAAAGAAAUCCUUGGCUCUAAUACAGUCGGGGGAUGACGGUACCGGAAGAAUAAGCACCGGCUAACUACGUGCCAGCAGCCGCGGUAAUACGUAGGGUGCAAGCGUUAAUCGGAAUUACUGGGCGUAAAGCGUGCGCAGGCGGUUUGCUAAGACCGAUGUGAAAUCCCCGGGCUCAACCUGGGAACUGCAUUGGUGACUGGCAGGCUAGAGUAUGGCAGAGGGGGGUAGAAUUCCGACGUGUAGCAGUGAAAUGCGUAGAGAUGUGGAGGAAUACCGAUGGCGAAGGCAGCCCCCUGGGCCAAUACUGACGCUCAUGCACGAAAGCGUGGGGAGCAAAACAGGAUUAGAUACCCUGGUAGUCCACGCCCUAAAACGAUGUCAACUAGUUGUUGGGGAUUCAUUUCCUUAGUAACGUAGCUAACGCGUGAAGUUGACCGCCUGGGGAGUACGGUCGCAAGAUUAAAACUCAAAGGAAUUGACGGGGUC